Molecule: long non-coding RNA, 126 nt
Organism: Rhagoletis zephyria (snowberry fruit fly)
Lineage: Eukaryota; Metazoa; Arthropoda; Insecta; Diptera; Tephritidae
Source: RefSeq, a predicted model, not a curated record
UAUAAGUACAUAUGUACAUACCAAGGCGAAUUCACAUAAGGUGGUAGCGGUAGUACAAAAACAAAAACUUACAUGUAUUCUGUUUUUGGUUUCGGUACACAAAUGUCAAAAUUCAGCUAUUAUUCG